Molecule: ribosomal RNA, 256 nt
Filed under: uncultured bacterium
Lineage: Bacteria
Description: partial 16S ribosomal RNA
Rfam family: Bacterial small subunit ribosomal RNA
Source: RNAcentral
CGGACGGGUGAGUAACGCGUGGGCAACCUGCCUUACACAGGGGGACAACAGCUGGAAACGGCUGCUAAUACCGCAUAAGCGCACGGUCUCGCAUGAGACAGUGUGAAAAACUCCGGUGGUGUAAGAUGGGCCCGCGUCUGAUUAGCUGGUUGGUGGGGUAACGGCCUACCAAGGCGACGAUCAGUAGCCGACCUCGAGAGGGUGACCGGCCACAUUGGGACUGAGACACGGCCCAAACUCCUACGGGAGGCAGCAG